This 486-nucleotide ribosomal RNA is filed under the name uncultured Pseudomonadota bacterium. RNAcentral describes it as "bacterial SSU rRNA". It matches the Rfam family "Bacterial small subunit ribosomal RNA", at positions 355 to 857 of the family's 1533-position model. Lineage: Bacteria; Pseudomonadati; Pseudomonadota. The record is from RNAcentral.
UGGGGAAUAUUGGACAAUGGGCGCAAGCCUGAUCCAGCAAUGCCGCGUGAGUGAUGAAGGCCUUCGGGUUGUAAAGCUCUUUCGCACGCGACGAUGAUGACGGUAGCGUGAGAAGAAGCCCCGGCUAACUUCGUGCCAGCAGCCGCGGUAAUACGAAGGGGGCUAGCGUUGUUCGGAAUUACUGGGCGUAAAGGGCGCGUAGGCGGUGGAUCAAGUCAGGCGUGAAAGCCCCGGGCUCAACCUGGGAACCGCGCUUGAGACUGGUGCGCUAGAGUUCGGGAGAGGAUGGUGGAAUUCCCAGUGUAGAGGUGAAAUUCGUAGAUAUUGGGAAGAACACCGAUGGCGAAGGCAGCCAUCUGGACCGACACUGACGCUGAGGCGCGAAAGCGUGGGGAGCAAACAGGAUUAGAUACCCUGGUAGUCCACGCCGUAAACGAUGAGUGCUAGACGUCGGGGCCCUCGAGGGCUUCGGUGUCGCAGCUAACG